Molecule: RNase P RNA, 223 nt
Filed under: Gammaproteobacteria bacterium
Lineage: Bacteria; Pseudomonadati; Pseudomonadota; Gammaproteobacteria
Description: partial RNase P RNA component class A
Rfam family: Bacterial RNase P class A
About the family: Ribonuclease P (RNase P) is a ubiquitous endoribonuclease, found in archaea, bacteria and eukarya as well as chloroplasts and mitochondria. Its best characterised activity is the generation of mature 5'-ends of tRNAs by cleaving the 5'-leader elements of precursor-tRNAs. Cellular RNase Ps are ribonucleoproteins.
Source: RNAcentral
UCGGCUGGUAAGGGUGAAAUGGUGCGGUAAGAGCGCACCGCGCCGGUGGUAACACGGGGCGGCAUGGUAAACCCCACCCGGAGCAAGACCAAAUAGGGGAACCAGCGUUUCGCGAUGCGUGGCCCGCGCAGUUCCCGGGUAGGUCGCUCGAGGUACAUGGCGACAUGUAUCCCAGAUGAAUGGCUGUCCACGACAGAACCCGGCUUAUCGGCCGGCUCUCCUG